GAUGAACGCUAGCGGCAGGCUUAAUACAUGCAAGGCGAAGGGGCAGCAAUGUCACUGUCGUACGGGUGCGUAACGCGUAUGCAACCUACCUAUCACUGGGGGAUAGCCCGGGGAAACCCGGAUUAAUACCGCAUAAAACAGGGGCACCGCAUGGUGAUAUUUGUUAAAGAUUUAUUGGUGAUAGAUGGGCAUGCGUUCGAUUAGCUAGUUGGCGGGGUAACGGCCCACCAAGGCGACGAUCGAUAGGGGAACUGAGAGGUUGAUCCCCCACACGGGCCCUGAGAUACGGGCCCGCCUCCUACAGGCGGAAGCAGUAGGGAAUAUUGGGCAAUGGAUGCAAGUCUGACCCAGCCAUGCCGCGUGCCGGAUGAAGGCCCUCAGGGUUGUAAACGGCUUUUAUUCGGGAAGAAGAGCAGGGAUGCGUCCUUGUGUGACGGUACCGAAUGAAUAAGCACCGGCUAACUCCGUGCCAGCAGCCGCGGUAA
RNAcentral lists this ribosomal RNA (485 nucleotides) under uncultured bacterium. RNAcentral describes it as "partial 16S ribosomal RNA". It matches the Rfam family "Bacterial small subunit ribosomal RNA", at positions 28 to 523 of the family's 1533-position model. The record is from RNAcentral.